RNAcentral lists this long non-coding RNA (1325 nucleotides) under Solanum tuberosum (potato). RNAcentral describes it as "long non-coding RNA (STUB_LNC001677)". Lineage: Eukaryota; Viridiplantae; Streptophyta; Magnoliopsida; Solanales; Solanaceae. The record is from RNAcentral.
CAUAAGCGUCAAUUUCUGCAGAUCCGACUGGAAAAAAUGUUCUCCAUGAUAGUUGAACAUAUAUUUGAGGCAACUUUGUCAGGGUUACUCUUUAUUUAUGAAGGUAAAGUAUACUUCCUAUAUGUUUUUAGUUUGCAAUUUCUGGGAAGUUGUCUAGCCAGACUUGAAUCAUUUUUAGCAUGCAAAACGGUAUCUAUAUAAAUGUUUCUUUUGAAUUCAAUUGGGAGGUUAUCCUGGAGAAGCUCCAAUUUAAUGCACACAACUUUAUCAAUAGGGUCCUACACAGAGAAGGAAAACAUCUUUCUACCAAGUGAUGAUAAGAGAAACAUCAAAAGGUCAAGCCUCUAUCCAAAAGUGAGGUUUAGAUGGAACUAUUUUUGUGUUGUCUAAUUGUAGGACCUACAGUUGAGCUUUGACAGGACUUUUAAAUUGACACAAUUGAUAUAUAGUGUAACUUAUAUUAUCUUUUUAUACAUUUCUAACUAUUUUUGUGUUGUCUAAUUGUAGGAAGCAUCUUCUUUAGUUUUGUGACUUUUGAUACUGAAAAUAAAGAAACUUUCUGGGGUUGCCAAUUGGUACAACAACUUUGUUCAGUAGGGAGCCCUAUUAUAGGGAAAUAAAGACUCAAAUAUGAUACACAAGUUAUUCAACUUUUUUGCCCCUCAUAGUUUCAGUUUUACAGGUAAUCUGCCACUUUCUAUUAAGUUUUUUUGUGCCAUCAGGAAGAGUUGAUCGUCAGAAGAAAAGCUAGCAGCUUGUACUAGGGUGUUUUAUGAGGUGCUCGAGUAAUCCACCCCAUCUUUCUAUUCAAACUAUUGUCUAUCAUCAAGUAAAUAGAUUUUAUAUAACUUGUUUUGUUUGAAAUUAACUAAUAACAUUAUAAUUUGUAUGUUGUAAAGCUUAUAUUGUCAUAUUCUUGUGCUCAAUUAACUUAAAUGUUUUAACUUUUUCAUUGCCAGUUAGAAUUUGGCGACGGUAUAGAAAAACUUCUUAAAAUGCGACAAAGUUGUUUGGUGCUGGACUGGUACUCAGAGGGAGCAGAUAACACUAUGAAUUAACUUGAUAUUUUGUGCUAUAGUUUGGUGGUCCUUGUGAAUAUUCCCUUGAUAAUUUAUGUACUAAAUUUUUGUUCUUUUGUAGUGGGUAGAACUAACUUUGCACCUUGUACAGUUCUUUUGAUUUAGAAAUUUAUAGUAGCCAUGACAAUGAAUAAUUCCUACUCCUAUACAUUUAUGUCGAUGUAAAAGAAAGCUCAUAUUUUUCAUAUGAAAGGUAUUCUUUGGUGUAAAUUUAAGUAUUUGCUCAGCAUACUUUUGCAUUAAUCU